RNAcentral lists this ribosomal RNA (347 nucleotides) under Sediminibacterium sp. DJM21. RNAcentral's name for it is "bacterial SSU rRNA". It matches the Rfam family "Bacterial small subunit ribosomal RNA", at positions 858 to 1213 of the family's 1533-position model. The record is from RNAcentral. Lineage: Bacteria; Pseudomonadati; Bacteroidota; Chitinophagia; Chitinophagales; Chitinophagaceae.
GCUUAAGUAAUCCACCUGGGGAGUACGACCGCAAGGUUGAACUCAAAGGAAUUGGCGGGGGCCGCACAAGCGAGGAGCAUGUGGUUUAAUUCGAUGAUACGCGAGGAACCUUACCUGGGCUAGAAUGCUGUCUGACCGUGGGAAAAGCACAUUUCGUAUCAAUACGCAGAUUGUAAGCUGCUGACAUGGCGUCGUCUCCUCGUGCCGUGAGUUGUUGUGUUACGUCCAGCGACGAGCGCAACCCCUAUCAUUAGUUGCCAAGAGAUGAAGCUGGUAACUCUAGUGAAACUGCUGCCGCAGGAGAGGAGGAAGGAGGGAUGACGGAAAUCAUCAUCUUCAUUAUGGGG